This 360-nucleotide ribosomal RNA is filed under the name uncultured fungus. Its description in RNAcentral is "eukaryotic LSU rRNA". It matches the Rfam family "Eukaryotic large subunit ribosomal RNA", at positions 40 to 398 of the family's 3401-position model. The record is from RNAcentral. Lineage: Eukaryota; Fungi.
AUAUCAAUAAGCGGAGGAAAAGAAACCAACAGGGAUUACCCUAGUAACGGCGAGUGAAGCGGUAACAGCUCAAAUUUGAAAUCUGACCUUUAUAGGUCCGAGUUGUAAUUUGUAGAGGAUGUUUCGGACAAGACUUUGGUUUAAGUUUCUUGGAACAGAACGUCAUAGAGGGUGAGAGUCCCGUCUAGAAUCGAUAGUCAAGUCCAUGUGAAACUCCUUCGACGAGUCGAGUUGUUUGGGAAUGCAGCUCAAAAUGGGUGGUAAAUUUCAUCUAAAGCUAAAUAUUGGCCAGAGACCGAUAGCGCACAAGUAGAGUGAUCGAAAGAUGAAAAGCACUUUGAAAAGAGAGUUAAACAGUAU